UACGUAGGGGGCGAGCGUUGUCCGAAGUUACUGGGCGUAAAGCGCGCGUAGGCGGGGGGUUAAGUGAGAGGUGAAAGGCUGCGGCUCAACCGCAUGCAGGGCCUCUCAUACUGGCCCUCUUGAGGGCGGCAGGGAGAAGUGGAAUGGCUGGUGUAGCGGUGAAAUGCGUAGAUAUCAGUCGGAACACCGGUAGCGAAGGCGGCUUCUUGGGCCGCUCCUGACGCUGAGGCGCGAAAGCCAGGGGA
This 245-nucleotide ribosomal RNA is filed under the name uncultured bacterium. RNAcentral describes it as "partial 16S ribosomal RNA". It matches the Rfam family "Bacterial small subunit ribosomal RNA", at positions 524 to 767 of the family's 1533-position model. The record is from RNAcentral.